This 116-nucleotide ribosomal RNA is filed under the name Pteropus alecto (black flying fox). The record is from RNAcentral. Lineage: Eukaryota; Metazoa; Chordata; Mammalia; Chiroptera; Pteropodidae.
GUCUAUGGCCAUGCCACCCUGAACAAGCCUGAUGUCUGAUCUUGGAAGCUAAGCAGGGCCGGGCCUGGUUAGUACUUGGAUGGGAGACCACCUAGGAAGACCAGGUGCUGUAGGCA